Molecule: transfer RNA, 66 nt
Filed under: Streptomyces sp. Root264
Lineage: Bacteria; Bacillati; Actinomycetota; Actinomycetes; Kitasatosporales; Streptomycetaceae
Also listed under: 1 other name
Description: tRNA-Val
Rfam family: tRNA
About the family: Transfer RNA (tRNA) molecules are approximately 80 nucleotides in length.
Source: RNAcentral
GCGCGAUUAGCUCAGCGGGAGAGCGCUUCCCUGACACGGAAGAGGUCACUGGUUCAAUCCCAGUAU